GCAGGGUUGCUGGGCCCAAAGCAUGGGGUCUGAGACAUCCAGUAGCCUCACCAGAUCCAGUCAGGGAGUCGAGACCAACCGAAACCCAAGGACUUCCCUUACCAGAAUAUCCAAGGUAUCUCCAAGCACCCAAUUCAAAUUACUAAACCGCAAAAUGUUAAAGGUACAGAAGGCGCGAUGCUCACCAUCUCCCCGAGGAGCAUGUUUGUUGCGCCCAAGGGCCACACCUUCCUGGCAGCAGGUACGUGCAGUCGGUGCCAGAGAGAUGUCCUAUGUCAUGGUGGCUCACUUUACAUGUUCAAAUACUUGGAAGGUGGAUAAUUCAAAGGUACUUACAGAAUUCAUUCUUUAAAGUAAAUCCUAAGGCAAAUAUUUAUACAAAAGAAAGAUUUCUUGUGCACAGUAAAUAAGAGCAGAUCUGCUUCAAGGGUCCCUCACCUUCUCCAGAUCCCAGAUACCCCAACGCGGUCCCACCCAGCCUGCCCCUCCUUUCUCCUCUCUGUCCUCGGCACGCUCCGCGCUCUGCCCCGCUCGCUCUCUGCAGAUGGGCUGGCCUCCAGCCCAGGCCAGCCCCACCUCAUGCCCGCGUGGAACCUCUUCACUAGAUAACAUCUCGCUCCCUCCUUCGCCUCCUCUGUCUUGAGGAGGUGUACCCUGACCACCCUCUCCCUCCUGAACCCCCUUUCUUGAUCUGUCUUUUCCAGUUCACUUCUCAUCUUCUGAUGUACCAGAUAACUCACACACAUUGUCUCCUGCUCCUAGAACAUGGGCUCCACGAAGAAAGGCUUAUCUGUUUUGUUCAUUAUCAAAUCCCAAGCACACCUCCUGGCACCCAAAGGCACCCUCUAAACUUCUGAUGUAUAGAAUGAACAAAUGAGUGCAUAUGGCCUAUCCCGGAGGUGUUGCUGGCCUCACGGAAGGCAGGACAAGGACCUUAGA
Mirounga angustirostris (Northern elephant seal) is the source of this 939-nucleotide long non-coding RNA. RefSeq lists it as uncharacterized. The transcript is spliced from 3 exons. The record is from RefSeq and is a predicted model, not a curated record. NCBI's taxonomy places the organism in Eukaryota, Metazoa, Chordata, Mammalia, Carnivora, Phocidae.